GUGAAGAGCUCCUCCGGGAUCUCGAUCCCCCGCCGCUGCCUCGCAAUGGCGUCGAGGCGGGACUGCUCCUCGGCGGCGACAUUGCGGACCAAGGCGGUUGCGGCCUCGACCUCGUCGAUGCUGGGGCGCGGCGGGAGGGAGCGGUGGAUGCGGGUGAUCUCGCCGACGACGCCGUCGAUGGUUAGGAGGGAGUGAAUCAUGGUGAUGUUGGGGGGAAUUGUGAUGAGUUCAUGCAAUUUUGGUGAAUGUGUGGAAGAAUCUAGAGUUGGGGAUUUCAGGCGAAUAAAAAUCAAGGUUG
This 298-nucleotide unclassified non-coding RNA is filed under the name Hevea brasiliensis (rubber tree). Lineage: Eukaryota; Viridiplantae; Streptophyta; Magnoliopsida; Malpighiales; Euphorbiaceae. The record is from RNAcentral.